CAGCCGCCGCGGGAAUACGUAGGUGGCAAGCGUUGUCCGGAAUUAUUGGGCGUAAAGGGCUCGCAGGCGGUUUCUUAAGUCUGAUGUGAAAGCCCCCGGCUCAACCGGGGAGGGUCGUUGGAAACUGGGAAACUUGAGUGCAGAAGAGGAGAGUGGAAUUCCACGUGUAGCGGUGAAAUGCGUAGAGAUGUGGAGGAACACCAGUGGCGAAGGCGACUCUCUGGUCUGUAACUGACGCUGAGGAGCGAAAGCGUGGGGAGCGAACAGGAUUAGAUACCCCCGUAGUCCCUGUCUCUUAUAC
RNAcentral lists this ribosomal RNA (301 nucleotides) under uncultured bacterium. RNAcentral's name for it is "partial 16S ribosomal RNA". It matches the Rfam family "Bacterial small subunit ribosomal RNA", at positions 509 to 807 of the family's 1533-position model. The record is from RNAcentral.